UUUUUAUAAGAAAAAGCAAAAAAAUAAGCAUUAAGAUAUCUCUGUUGUUUUUUUUACAAGAGCAUAUAAAAUUUAGCAUCCACUUUAAUAUAGAGUAAAAAGACUUAUUGGCAAAGAUGAACAUCUAUUCCUUUGGAAAUCUUGGCAGCUAGACCCAAGUAGGCAUCUGGAUUGGGGAUAUCAUUGUUUGUCUUCUCAUACUCCAAAGUCCAUUUCACGCAGUCAGAACCAAUCUCAACUUUGGCCUUGAAACUCUUAUACACCUUCAAAACAUCCCCUUCAACGACAUCAAAUACAAAUGUCUUCCUUGCAUCAUCCAUAGUUUCAAACCUUACUUUUCCUCCCAUCACUGGACUUCCGUCAAGGCAAUAUUUCCAGCUGGUGAUAGAGCCAGUUUUGACCUCACCACCUCCUACAACUUCAAAGCUCUUGAUGUUGCUCUGGAACAUCUGAGGGAAACGGGGCAUAUUGUUUUUAAAGAAGCUGUAGAACUUGUCUGGAGUUGUUUUGAUCCCUAUCUGCCUCUCGAGCUUUGAAAGCUGAGCAAGCUGAGCCAUGACUAUUACUACCAAAAACCAGAAACCUUAAGCUCUAAUGUGGUGAUGAAAAAUUAGAUUCCAUGAUUUCCUUUAUUUAUAAAAUCAGCAGUGGCCUUUUCAAGGGGCUUUAGAAUCAUG
RNAcentral lists this unclassified non-coding RNA (677 nucleotides) under Hevea brasiliensis (rubber tree). The record is from RNAcentral. Lineage: Eukaryota; Viridiplantae; Streptophyta; Magnoliopsida; Malpighiales; Euphorbiaceae.